CGCCACAACGGCUUCCUGACGUGGCGCUUUUUUCAUAUUGGAGCA
RNAcentral lists this non-coding RNA (45 nucleotides) under uncultured Sulfitobacter sp. RNAcentral's name for it is "SAM/SAH riboswitch". It matches the Rfam family "SAM/SAH riboswitch aptamer". Lineage: Bacteria; Pseudomonadati; Pseudomonadota; Alphaproteobacteria; Rhodobacterales; Roseobacteraceae. The record is from RNAcentral.